This 491-nucleotide ribosomal RNA is filed under the name uncultured bacterium. RNAcentral's name for it is "bacterial SSU rRNA". It matches the Rfam family "Bacterial small subunit ribosomal RNA", at positions 28 to 507 of the family's 1533-position model. The record is from RNAcentral.
GAUGAACGCUAGCUACAGGCUUAACACAUGCAAGUCGAGGGGAAACGACAUCGAAAGCUUGCUUUUGGUGGGCGUCGACCGGCGCACGGGUGAGUAACGCGUAUCCAACCUGCCCACCACUUGGGGAUAACCUUGCGAAAGUAAGACUAAUACCCAAUGAUAUCCCACGAAGGCAUCGGAAUGGGAUUAAAGAUUUAUCGGUGAUGGAUGGGGAUGCGUCUGAUUAGCUUGUUGGCGGGGUAACGGCCCACCAAGGCAACGAUCAGUAGGGGUUCUGAGAGGAAGGUCCCCCACAUUGGAACUGAGACACGGUCCAAACUCCUACGGGAGGCAGCAGUGAGGAAUAUUGGUCAAUGGGCGAGAGCCUGAACCAGCCAAGUAGCGUGCAGGAAGACGGCCCUAUGGGUUGUAAACUGCUUUUAUAGGGGAAUAAAGUGAGCCACGUGUGGUUUUUGCAUGUACCCUAUGAAUAAGGACCGGCUAAUUCCGUG